AUGGAGCGACCGACGUCAGAACACCAGCAGGCAGUGAAGAGGAUCAUCCGCUACAUAGCAGGGACCCUCGACCACGGCCUCCACUACCCUAGGUGUCCGGGGGCAGCACACUUCGUCGGGUACAGCGACCACGCCGGCGACAUCGACACCAGCAAGAGCACGAGCGGGAUCCUCCUCUUCCUCGGCAAGUGUCUCGUGAGCUGGCAAUCAGUCAAACAGCAGGUGGUGGCCCUGUCCAGCUGUGAGGUUGAGUACAUAGCGGCCUCCACCGCCUGCACUCAGGCGCUUUGGCUCGCUCGACUGCUUGGUGAUCUUCUCGUUCAAGACACCAGAACGGUGCAGCUCCUGGUGGACAGCAAGUCCGCCCUGGCCCUGGCAAAGAACCCCGUGUUCCAUGAACGGAGCAAGCACAUCCGGCUGAGGUAUCACUUCAUCCGCAGCUGUGUGGAAGAAGGCAGCAUCGAGGCGAGCUACAUCAACACCAAGGAUCAGCUCGCAGACCUGCUCACCAAGCCUCUUGGGAGGGUCAAGUUCCUCGAGCUUUGCUCCAGGAUCGGGAUGAUUUAA
Molecule: ribosomal RNA, 567 nt
Filed under: Triticum aestivum (bread wheat)
Lineage: Eukaryota; Viridiplantae; Streptophyta; Magnoliopsida; Poales; Poaceae
Description: partial small subunit ribosomal RNA
Source: RNAcentral